RNAcentral lists this long non-coding RNA (545 nucleotides) under Phasianus colchicus (ring-necked pheasant). Its description in RNAcentral is "lncRNA (ENSPCLG00000003680.1)". Lineage: Eukaryota; Metazoa; Chordata; Aves; Galliformes; Phasianidae. The record is from RNAcentral.
AUGCGGAUGAAGAUGCUAUUUAAUGCGAUGCUGUUUAACUGGGCACCCUGCAUGGAAACUGGAGCUCUGUUGUUAGCCCCAUUUCACAGGUUUCUCAUAGGAAGAUACAAGCUGUCACGAUCCCUUGCCAAUCACAUGAGAACUGACCUAGGGAGAACAUCAACCGAAGGUUGUGUCCAGACUUGAAAAUUAAGAUUUAGAAAGUCCCACGGCCUGUCUGAGCUUUACACUGGGAGGAAUACGAGCUGCCUGAGCAGAGGAUGAAUGUUGUCUUGGGUCACCAUCAAGAUCUUGACCUGCCUAACUGAUGUGACUCAGGGAAAGAGGUAUGUCAAUGCUCAUCAGGAGCACAUCCUCAUUUACUGCUUCCUGGAGUAGCGUGAGAGAUAAGGGGAUUUAUCAGCAAUUUAAUUAUAGAUGUAACACACUGUAGUUGUAACAUUCAUUAUGCAAGACAAAAAGGAGUCUUCUCUUUGCACUGCAAGAUUUCAAGCUCAACUGAAAUCUGAAGAGUAUGGAUGAGGUUGGGCAUGAUCUUGUGAAUC